GCCUCGGUAGCGCAGAAGGCAGCGCGUCGGUCUCAUAAUCUGAAGGCCGUGAGUUCGAUCCUCACCCGGGGCA
This 73-nucleotide transfer RNA is filed under the name Pollicipes pollicipes. RNAcentral describes it as "tRNA-Met". It matches the Rfam family "tRNA". From Rfam's summary of the family: Transfer RNA (tRNA) molecules are approximately 80 nucleotides in length. Their secondary structure includes four short double-helical elements and three loops (D, anti-codon, and T loops). Further hydrogen bonds mediate the characteristic L-shaped molecular structure. tRNAs have two regions of fundamental functional importance: the anti-codon, which is responsible for specific mRNA codon recognition, and the 3' end, to which the tRNAs corresponding amino acid is attached (by aminoacyl-tRNA synthetases). tRNAs cope with the degeneracy of the genetic code in two manners: having more than one tRNA (with a specific anti-codon) for a particular amino acid; and 'wobble' base-pairing, i.e. permitting non-standard base-pairing at the 3rd anti-codon position. Lineage: Eukaryota; Metazoa; Arthropoda; Thecostraca; Pollicipedomorpha; Pollicipedidae. The record is from RNAcentral.